ACUCCUACGGGAGGCAGCAGUGGGGAAUAUUGCACAAUGGGCGCAAGCCUGAUGCAGCCAUGCCGCGUGUAUGAAGAAGGCCUUCGGGUUGUAAAGUACUUUCAGCAGUGAGGAAGGUGGGUAUGUUAAUAGCAUAUUCAUUUGACGUUAGCUGACAAGAAGAAGCCGAACCGGCCUAACUCCGUGCCAGCAGCCGCGGUAAUACGGAGGGUGCGAGCGUUAAUCGGAAUUACUGGGCGUAAAGCGCAUGCAGGUGGUUUGUUAAGUCAGAUGUGAAAGCCCGGGGCUCAACCUCGGAAUUGCAUUUGAAACUGGCAAACUAGAGUACUGUAGAGGGGGUGGAGAAUUAUCAGGUGUAGCGGUGAAAUGCGUAGAGAUCUGAAGGAAUACCGGUGGCGAAGGCGGCCCCCUGGACAGAUACUGACACUCAGAUGCGAAAGCGUGGGGAGCAAACAGGAUUAGAUACCCUGGUAGCUACGAGU
RNAcentral lists this ribosomal RNA (482 nucleotides) under uncultured bacterium. Its description in RNAcentral is "bacterial SSU rRNA". It matches the Rfam family "Bacterial small subunit ribosomal RNA", at positions 335 to 802 of the family's 1533-position model. The record is from RNAcentral.